AUCAAGUCCAACCCGAUCCGACCAUAGACCGUAUAUAACAAGUCCGACCCAAUAUGAUAAAUGUUGUAUGUGGUUCUUGUGUCGUGUAUUGCGUAUCAUGGGUUUGCAUUGACUGCAUGGCCACGCCCACACUCCCCUCGCACCCACGGUUCCGACCAGCACUUAGCUCCACUGGAGACGGAGUUGUUACGUGUACAGGCUAGAUGGAGGUUAAGUAUGUUGCAGCGUGGAUCAUUGGUGACAGCUAUGCAUGGUGGCCAGAGAGCUGCAGAGAGCUUAGGAAGCAGCUUCACUCUCCUGGAUGUCUCUUAGUCUGCAGGCUUCUCCCCUUCUUUUCCCCUCCCUGCGAAGAAUUGCAGCAGUGGAUGUUCUCAUCAGCAUGUAAGGACGUGUGACGGCCUCUGUCAGAAUACAGGAUAUAAAAGUUCCACCUUCCAUCGUGGCUGGCUGUCUUCCCUAACAGCACCUGCACUCUGCUGCUUUGCUGAACAAUUGUUUUUACUUUUACUCCACAACACCUUAUCCCACAGCAUAUGAACACUACUGAUUUAAAAUGUAAAAUUAUGACGCUGACUUCCUAAGCAUAGGUUCCAUUAUUAUAAUUACUCAGUCAUACAUAACAACUUUAAUAAUUGUAAACUUUUUAAUUUUUAAUUUCACAUUUUCAUGAAUGCAUGAUAUGAUUUUAAUUUGUUUAACUGUUUCUUGUAUAGUAUAAUUCAUCCAUCCAUUGUCAACCGCUUAUCCUGCGUACAGGGUCGCGGGGGG
Molecule: long non-coding RNA, 768 nt
Organism: Micropterus salmoides (largemouth bass)
Lineage: Eukaryota; Metazoa; Chordata; Actinopteri; Centrarchiformes; Centrarchidae
Exons: 3
Source: RefSeq, a predicted model, not a curated record